RNAcentral lists this ribosomal RNA (465 nucleotides) under uncultured bacterium. RNAcentral describes it as "partial 16S ribosomal RNA". It matches the Rfam family "Bacterial small subunit ribosomal RNA", at positions 28 to 507 of the family's 1533-position model. The record is from RNAcentral.
GACGAACGCUGGCGGCGUGCUUAACACAUGCAAGUCGUACGGUAAGGCCCUUUCUGUGGUCCACGAGUGGCGAACGGGUGAGUAACACGUGAGUAACCUGCCCACAACUUUGGGAUAACGCUAGGAAACUGGUGCUAAUACUGGAUAUGUGCUCCUGCUGCAUGGUGGGGGUUGGAAAGCUCCGGCGGUUGUGGAUGGACUCGCGGCCUAUCAGCUUGUUGGUGGGGUAGUGGCCUACCAAGGCGGCGACGGGUAGCCGGCCUGAGAGGGUGACCGGCCACAUUGGGACUGAGAUACGGCCAAGACUCCUACGGGAGGCAGCAGUGGCGAAUAUUGAACAAUGGGCGCAAGCCUGAUGCAGAACCGCCGCGGGCGGGAUGACGGCCUUCGGGUUGUAAACCGCUUUCAGCAGGGACGAAGCUUUUUGUGACGGUACCUGCAGAAGAAGCACCGGCUAACUACGUG